This 73-nucleotide transfer RNA is filed under the name Microcaldota archaeon. Its description in RNAcentral is "Candidatus Micrarchaeota archaeon tRNA-Val". It matches the Rfam family "tRNA". Rfam says of the family: Transfer RNA (tRNA) molecules are approximately 80 nucleotides in length. Their secondary structure includes four short double-helical elements and three loops (D, anti-codon, and T loops). Lineage: Archaea; Nanobdellati; Microcaldota. RNAcentral also lists the same sequence under 1 other name. The record is from RNAcentral.
GGGUUCGUGGUCUAGUGGUUAGGACGUCGCCCUUACAAGGCGAAGAUCGGCGGUUCAAAUCCGCCCGGACCCA